UAUCUCUCCGUACGGGGAAGGAUGAGAAGCUUCGACUAAGGUUCGAUUCGAGCGCAGCCAGAAAGCGUUGCCGUAGGCAACGACCCGAAGGGCGAAGCGCGCAGCGCUGAGUCAUCCUUCCCCCACCACCA
Molecule: small RNA, 131 nt
Filed under: Salmonella enterica subsp. enterica serovar Kentucky
Lineage: Bacteria; Pseudomonadati; Pseudomonadota; Gammaproteobacteria; Enterobacterales; Enterobacteriaceae
Description: RtT sRNA
Rfam family: RtT RNA
About the family: This family represents a bacterial cis-regulatory element known as RtT RNA. The exact function of RtT is unknown although it is thought that it may be involved in changing the cellular response in relation to amino acid starvation.
Source: RNAcentral